CCGACAUCACCGUCACCAGCCAAUCUGAUGAACGCAACCUCGAUGGCAGCAGCCAAUGGAGCUACGCCCAGUCUGACUACACCACUCGUGAAGAGUCCCAGGCCCAAAAGAAGAUGCAAGAAGUCGCCUACGAUUCUUACGGCAAGGCUACCUACGAGGACGUUAUGGGAAACACCAACAAGGGAUCCUCUUACUGGGUUUCCCCUGAAGGUCAGAAAUUCACUUUAACCUGGACCGCUGAUGAUGCUGGAUUCUAGCCCAAAGGUGACCACUUGCCCGUCGCCCCCGUCCAUGAAUACUCAACACGAGAUUACAACGUUCUCAGACCCAUUUUACCUCAAUUUUGUAGGAGACGUCAAUAACAUCGCAAAAAUGCAAAUAGGAUGGUGUCAUUGUAGGGACGACGAUUGGGAACACUUGAGGUGCUUCUUGGAACACUCUUCCGCGCCGUUUCUGUUGUCUGUUCACACAAAACGCGUUCGUAGGUUUUGGAUUUGUUGUGGGUAUGAAAAUCAACGCUCUUCAGGACACCAAAGGUUUUUAAAUAAACAAAAACUACCUCAAUGAGAAAAACCGUUGCACCAAGCAAUGUUGUCAUGCUUUGGUUGUCUACAUCAGCAUGCAAGUAAAUGGUUUCACCUGCGACAUAUCUAGAUACAGUGUUACCGUAAUAAGUUCAGAUCGGCAGCAAAACCAACGGAAAACGGACUUGGUUUUUAUUGAUUGUGUUGGUAGCUAUCAAUAAAAUUUAAAAGAUGGUGA
Long non-coding RNA from Daphnia magna, 762 nucleotides. RefSeq lists it as uncharacterized. Lineage: Eukaryota; Metazoa; Arthropoda; Branchiopoda; Diplostraca; Daphniidae. The record is from RefSeq and is a predicted model, not a curated record. The transcript is spliced from 2 exons.